GUCAAAAAUGUUAUAAAUUGAUUUGCAUUUUAAUGAGGGAAAUAAGUAUUUGACCCCUCUGCAAAACAUGACUUAGUACUUGGUGGCAAAACCCUUGUUGGCAAUCACAGAGCUCCAUUUUGGUCUCAUCUGACCUCAACACUUUCACCCAGUUGUCCUCUGAAUCAUUCAGAUGUUCAUUGGCAAACUUCAGACGGGCAUGUAUAUGUGCUUUCUUGAGCAGGGGGACCUUGCGGGCGCUGCAGGAUUUAAGUCCUUCACGGCGUAGUGUGUUACCAAUUGUUUUCUUGGUGACUAUGGUCCCAGCUGCCUUGAGAUCAUUGACAAGAUCCUCCCGUGUAGUUCUGGGCUGAUUCCUCACCGUUCUCAUGAUCAUUGCAACUCCACGAGGUGAGAUCUUGCAUGGAGCCCCGGGCUGAGGGAGAUUGACAGUUCUUUUGUGUUUCUUCCACUUGCGAAUAAUCACACCAACUGUUGUCACCUUCUCACCAUGCUGCUUGGCGAUGGUCUUGUAGCCCAUUCCAACCUUGUGUAGGUCUACAAUCUUGUUCCUGACAUCCUUGGAGAGCUCUUUGGUCUUGGCCAUGGUGAAGAGUUUGGAAUAUGAUUGAUUGAUUGCUUCUGUGGACAGGUGUCUUUUUUACAGGUAACAAGCUGAGAUUAGGAGCACUCCCUUUAAGAGUGUGCUCCUAAUCUCAGCUCGUUACCUGUAUAAAAGACACCUGGGAGCCAGAAAUCUUUCUGAUUGAGAGGGGGUGAAAUACUUAUUUCCCUCAUUAAAAUGCAAAUCAAUGUAUAAAAUUUUUGACAUGCGUUUUUCUGGAUUUUUUUGUUGUUAUUUUAUCUCUCACUGUUCAAAUAAACCUACCAUUAAAAUUAUAGACUGAUCAUUUCUUUGUCAGUGGGAAAACAUACAAAAUCAGCAGGGGAUCAAAUACUUUUUUCCCUCACUGUAUAUGCCAAUCAUAGUAAGGUAUUAUUAUCAAAAUGGACCAAAUUAUGUGCUUGUAUUUUAAAACCUGUGUGUUUGAAUUAUUUUGUCUCUGUUAAAUGUGAAAUGCUUCUUCAAUUCAAAGUACUGAAUACUAUGAAAAGCCAUAACAAAACUAUGAUUUACUGAAAAAUGUUUUUUUUUUUUUUUUUACAAUAUGGUCAUGAUGUUGAUAUAUCAAAAUGUUUACUCGUUAUCACUGUGAGUGUUAGUUAUGCUUCUAAGAAUUCAAUCAUUUUACUUCUACUAGUGUUAACUUAUAGUGUACAUGGUAUAAUGCUGUAAACUUGUGAAUGCCACACCUCCAUAUUUGGAUGCCACACAUCCAUGGUGAUUUAUUUACUCAUUUGUUAAUUGACAAUUUCAGUAAGCAAAUAAUGUUAAUUAAGCACUGAAGAAAUUCAGAAUUGAGUGGUGAGGUCAUCUAGUAACUACCUCAAUUCCAGCAAGCUGUGAUGCUAGUAGUAGUUACCACUAAUACUCUGAAGUGGGUGAAAUUAAGACAAAAAAAGGGAAUGGCUUUCAUUUGACCUAAUCUGUAUGUCUGCAUGUAAUCCUACAAUUUUAAUCCUAACAUUCAUACAGUAAAUUUGAUGUACUGUGCUGUCUCUCAAGUAGUUAUUCUCUGUUAGUAAAAGGCAAUGCACCCAUAGAUGAGUCUGUUAUCUACAGUCAAUAACUAAAUGAAUAUGACAUGGUUUUCAUAUCAUGAUUUACAUUUACAUGUCAUUGCAAUGAAGAAUUAACGGCAAUAGCCCUUAAAAGAUGUGUGUUUAUUAAAGUGUGCCCGAUGCCAUUCAACAGAUGCUCAGAAGUCAUCUACACCAGCGUUGAAUAGUCGUCCUCCUCUCUUAUUUCCAAUCUAACAGAACUUGCUGUCACAUGUCCUUUUAUGAUGAGUAUCUGCUGGAAGGCAUUGUGUGCCCCCCUGUGUAUUAUUGAUAUAAGUGUGGCAUGAAAACUGACCCCUGGUGUGCCUCUGGUGUAACAAUGUCAUGUAAAUAAUUGCUAUUGUCUGGCUGCUUAUAAUGUAUGAAGUGUGUGAUGCAUAAUGUGCGUUCGUGUUAUUAAUGCAAGUCAUUUUAACAUUGUUUUGUUAUUUUGUUCAGUUUUUAUUAAAAGUGACAUAUUUUAUUACA
This 2130-nucleotide long non-coding RNA is filed under the name Salmo salar (Atlantic salmon). RNAcentral's name for it is "lncRNA (ENSSSAG00000105153.1)". Lineage: Eukaryota; Metazoa; Chordata; Actinopteri; Salmoniformes; Salmonidae. The record is from RNAcentral.